CAGCACCUCAAGUGGUCAGGAUGAUUAUUGGGCCUAAAGCAUCCGUAGCCUGCUUUGUUAGUUUUCGGUUAAAUCCAUAUGCUCAACGUAUGGGCUGCCGGGAAUACUGCAAAGCUAGGGAGUGGGAGAGGUAGACGGUACUCGGUAGGAAGGGGUAAAAUCCUUUGAUCUAUUGAUGACCACCUGUGACGAAGGCGGUCUACCAGAACACGUCCGACGGUGAGGGAUGAAAGCUAGGGGAGCAAACCGGAUUAGAUACCCGAGUAGUCC
This 270-nucleotide ribosomal RNA is filed under the name uncultured archaeon. Its description in RNAcentral is "partial 16S ribosomal RNA". It matches the Rfam family "Archaeal small subunit ribosomal RNA", at positions 477 to 747 of the family's 1478-position model. The record is from RNAcentral.